CUCCAGACUCCUACGGGAGGCAGCAGUGGGGAAUAUUGCACAAUGGGGGAAACCCUGAUGCAGCGACGCCGCGUGAGUGAGGAAGUAUUUCGGUAUGUAAAGCUCUCUCAGCAGGGAAGAAAAUGACGGUACCUGACUAAGAAGCCCCGGCUAACUACGUGCCAGCAGCCGCGGUAAUACGUAGGGGGCAAGCGUUAUCCGGAUUUACUGGGUGUAAAGGGAGCGUAGACGGUUAUGUAAGUCUGGAGUGAAAGCCCGGGGCCCAACCCCGGGACUGCUUUGGAAACUGUGUAACUGGAGUACAGGAGGGGCAGGCGGAAUUCCUGGUGUAGCGGUGAAUGCGUAGAUAUCAGGAGGAACACCGGCGGCGAAGGCGGCCUGCUGGACUGAAACUGACGUUGAGGCGCGAAAGCGUGGGGAGCAAACAGGAUUAGAUACCCCUGUACA
Molecule: ribosomal RNA, 447 nt
Filed under: uncultured bacterium
Lineage: Bacteria
Description: bacterial SSU rRNA
Rfam family: Bacterial small subunit ribosomal RNA
Source: RNAcentral